Molecule: non-coding RNA, 131 nt
Organism: Poronia punctata
Lineage: Eukaryota; Fungi; Ascomycota; Sordariomycetes; Xylariales; Xylariaceae
Source: the annotation of a GenBank genome assembly
GCCCGGUUGGUGUAGUGGUAGCACGCUCAAUGAGGGUCCGGGGAUGAAUGACAGCUUGCUGCUAUUCAAAGGAUGUUGACAAACUCACAUCUAAUACUGUAGAGGCCUUGGUUCAAUUCCAAGUCUGGGCA